UACGUAGGGCGCAAGCGUUAUCCGGAAUUAUUGGGCGUAAAGAGCUCGUAGGCGGUUUGUCGCGUCUGCCGUGAAAGUCCGGGGCUCAACUCCGGAUCUGCGGUGGGUACGGGCAGACUAGAGUGCAGUAGGGGAGACUGGAAUUCCUGGUGUAGCGGUGAAAUGCGCAGAUAUCAGGAGGAACACCGAUGGCAAAGGCAGGUCUCUGGGCUGUAACUGACGCUGAGGAGCGAAAGCAUGGGGAGCGAACAGG
Molecule: ribosomal RNA, 253 nt
Filed under: uncultured bacterium
Lineage: Bacteria
Description: partial 16S ribosomal RNA
Rfam family: Bacterial small subunit ribosomal RNA
Source: RNAcentral